Long non-coding RNA from Pezoporus occidentalis (night parrot), 1534 nucleotides. RefSeq lists it as uncharacterized. The transcript has 5 exons. The record is from RefSeq and is a predicted model, not a curated record. Lineage: Eukaryota; Metazoa; Chordata; Aves; Psittaciformes; Psittacidae.
UCUGCACCAUUCAGGGCAGCAGCACCAGGUAGUUUGGGAUUUGAACUUUGCUGUCAGAGGAUAAGAGCAUGACUUCACUUUGUAGACAAGUUUGUUGGCUCCUCUAUCCUCCCCAAAGCAGGGAUGCCUCUUUGGACUCCUGGGUUGUGUUUCCAAGGAAGAUAGCAUCCCCUAACCAGCACAGCAUCCUUAGCCUUGAUCCUAGACCCUACCAUGCUGACAAUGCCAACUUUGAUUGACGCUGGAGUACUCCCAAAUGCCAAGCAGCUGGAGGAGGCUGCACUUUGCUUUCAGCCCAGGCUUUAGCAUUUGCCUGGUAUCUGAAGGGACGUUUCAAGACCCAUUUGAAGUAGAGAGAAGAGGCUAGGUGUCCUGUGGAGAACCAGAGUCUCAGCAUCAAAAGUUAAUUCAUGUCAGACUUGGAUUUUAUUGUAAAAAAGGCCAAAUCAUCCUUAAAUGCCUCGAAAGCUGGAAUACACCAGACAUCCUGUGGAAUGAGGUAUUUGUAGUAGGUGGGGCUGUCUGGUGAUGGUUACUGGUAUGGGGGAAGGCUGCAUCUGAAAUGCUGAUUCUUCCCAGAGCCAUGGCAAUUCCAACCUCCUCAGUAGCUUCCCACACCUGAUUGUCACCUAAGCAGCCAGGUGAUGGGUGCUCUCCUCCCCAGUACUGGUGGGAUGCUUUACAGUUUGCCACCCAAAGGACAGAUCAUAGAAUCAUCAUAGAAUCACAGAAUGGUUUGGGUUGGAGGGAACCUUAAAGACCAUCUAGUUCCAAACCCCUGCCAUGAGGGCAGAUAGGCUUUCAGUAUGCUUUAAACAUAAGACCUGACUCAGCAGAACCACAUGUAUGCACCCCAGCUGCAGAGCUGCCCAUUGUAUCAAAUCUAUAGGGGAGAUGAAAACAUAAGUGGCUUUUCAUCAGGUAAGAUGACUGAUUAUGCUUAGGAGCCCUGAUGGUGCCAUGUGUUUUGGAUGCUCUAUUAAAUAUCUGAUUUUUAGCUAAAAUUUCAGCUCAAUGUGGACAAGUUAUCAUACAGCUGCCUGCUAUGAAGGUCUUGAGCUUUCCCUGAAUCAUCUAACAGCAGGCAGAGAUGGGGCCAUGGGUUGGUGGAGCCUCUGCCAGGCUGUUUCCAGCACCCACGGGGAAUACAGACCACAGCAAAUGCCAGAAAACAAACUUUCUGAUCUAAAUUGUGCCUAUUGACAAACAACUGUGCUAGAAAUCAAUCUUGUUACUCCCUGGAUGUCAGCACUUCUUAUAUUUAAAAGAAAAAAACCCUCAACCUUGCUCUUAUUUUAGUGCUGUUUUUUUUUUAGCCUUACUUGCUUGCAAACUUUUUAUUAAAAGAAGAAUUUGAUGGUUUUGAGUGAGCACAUAUGGUUCAUGGAAGCCAGACGUGCUGAGUGAUGCUCUCAGAGCAGAGUUGGCAUUUACAAGUGCACACACCCAAAAGCAAACCGUAGGGUGGAUUAGCCCGUGCUAUUCCCAUGCCCUUACCAGCCUACAUGCAUCUCUCAGCCAUGCUUAGUCACAC